RNAcentral lists this ribosomal RNA (499 nucleotides) under uncultured bacterium. RNAcentral describes it as "bacterial SSU rRNA". It matches the Rfam family "Bacterial small subunit ribosomal RNA", at positions 19 to 518 of the family's 1533-position model. The record is from RNAcentral.
AUGGCUCAGGAUGAACGCUGGCGGCGUGCCUAACACAUGCAAGUCGAGCGAAGGAUAUAUAGUGAAAUCUUCGGAUUGAUCUAUAUAAACUUAGCGGCGGAUGGGUGAGUAACGCGUGAGAAAUCUACCAUGCACUAGGGGAUAGCCUCGGGAAACUGGGAAUAAUACCCUAUGACACUUACAUUUCGCAUGAAAAGUAAGUUAAAGCGUUUAGCGGUGCUUGAUGAUCCCGCGUCCCAUUAGUUAGUUGGUGAGGUAAUGGCUCACCAAGACUACGAUGGGUAGCCGGCCUGAGAGGGUGACCGGCCACACUGGAACUGAGACACGGUCCAGACUCCUACGGGAGGCAGCAGUGGGGAAUAUUGCACAAUGGAGGAAACUCUGAUGCAGCGACGCCGCGUGAGCGAUGAAGGUCUUCGGAUCGUAAAGCUCUGUCCUAAGGGAAGAUAGUGACGGUACCUUAGGAGGAAGCCCCGGCUAACUACGUGCCAGCCGCCGC